GGCUUCCGGCUCCGGCUUGGAGCUGGGUGUUCAGAAAGUGGGUGUACUGCGUUAGCGUUUAGGUGGGUUGUUUAGAUGGCGCCAGCCUCAGCGUCUCCAGUCAGUUCUUUUAGUCACACAUUCAUUCCGCUGCCAACAGUCAAACUCGACGUCGAGCGAUUAAAUCCCUGGCAUCGCCCUGUGUAGCCUUGCAUCUGUUCGAUCAGCCAUUCCGGCUACUGUUCCACCGCCAGUCUGACUUAAACAGAAGCCGUCGGGCUUAGGUAACGCAAGUCAAUGGAGUCAACAAGCAGAACUUAAGCACCGGAUUUAAUGUCUCCGAACGCUCACUGAUCGCUGCCGAAGGUGGUGUCUACCUUUAGACAAGCGUGGCGCAGGCAUGGUGCUGCACGCCUGAAUCCCAGUGAUCUGAAAGUGGAGACAGGAGUAAAGGCCAGCCUCAGCUACGUGAAGGCACUGCCUCGUAAAUAAAAAUUUAAAAAGAAACAGGCCCUAGUGUGAGAAAUAACUGAGGACAAUCACAAUUUGGUGAAAUAACCUGGCAGUUCCUGUAUGGCUAAGUAGACGGUCGAUGAAUACCUUAAGACUAAAAACCCGAUUGUUCUGAUGCAGCAAGCCUCUGCUACUCUAAGGCUGAGGCUGUAGGUGAAACCAAUCACAAGUAUUUCAAAAAGAAAGGGUGCAGGUGCGUAGCUCAGUAGAGGCACUCAGGUCAAGCCCCAGUACCAGGGAAGAAAAGUGAACAUUUUUUUAAAUGCAGUGCACAGAGAUGCAACAACUUUCGAUCUUUAAAAUUUCCUCUAAGACUUAACUCUAUUGUUUGACGAAACCCAUUAUGUACAUGAGGUGUCUCAAAUCCAUCCCCCGCCCCCCAUUAGGACUUACCCUUUGGGGGUUGGAGAGAUGGCCCAGGGGUUAAGAGCACUGACUCCUCUUUCAGAGGUCCUCAGUUCAAUUUCCAGCAACCACAUGGUGUCUCGCAACCAUCUAAUUAAUCUGAUGGACUCGGAUGCCUUCUUCUGGGUUGUCUGAAGAGAGAGACAGUGUAUGCACAUACAUAAAAUAAAUACAUCUUUUUAAAAACAAACAGAAAACCUUAUUCUUUGUCCUUUAAAAAAAAUUGAUGAGCUUUUGAUCAGUCCUGGCUCGACAAAACAAAAACAAAAGGAUGUUUGUUAAUUUGCAUAGGGGCUUCUUGUUAGGCAUCCUUAUUUUAACUAUCCAGCCAUCUAUCUAAUUAUCUGUAAGUAAAAAUAAUAUGACACUACAGGUAACUAAAGAAUGCUGAGCUCAGGAGAAAUAGUAUUCCCCCAGGAAAAGCACAUCAACUGAUUAACCAAUACCAAAUGGCCAGCCCUGAAAACUCUCUCUCUCUCAACUAAC
This 1383-nucleotide long non-coding RNA is filed under the name Mus musculus (house mouse). Its description in RNAcentral is "long non-coding RNA chr7:67645442-67646825". Lineage: Eukaryota; Metazoa; Chordata; Mammalia; Rodentia; Muridae. The record is from RNAcentral.